UCCCUGGUGGCUCAGAGGUUAAAGCGUCUGCCUCUGAUGCAGGAGACCCGAGUUCGAUCCCUGGGUUGGGAA
This 72-nucleotide transfer RNA is filed under the name Ovis aries (sheep). It matches the Rfam family "tRNA". Rfam says of the family: Transfer RNA (tRNA) molecules are approximately 80 nucleotides in length. Their secondary structure includes four short double-helical elements and three loops (D, anti-codon, and T loops). The record is from Rfam by way of RNAcentral. Lineage: Eukaryota; Metazoa; Chordata; Mammalia; Artiodactyla; Bovidae.